UUUAAUGAUAAAACUGAAUAAGAAGUGUCGUCAGAUUGGAAAGCUGACGAUCCUGUUCUGAUUCUGACU
Molecule: small nucleolar RNA, 69 nt
Organism: Hemiscyllium ocellatum (epaulette shark)
Lineage: Eukaryota; Metazoa; Chordata; Chondrichthyes; Orectolobiformes; Hemiscylliidae
Product: small nucleolar RNA SNORD49
Exons: 1
Source: RefSeq, a predicted model, not a curated record